GACGUAGGGUCCAAGCGUUGUCCGGAUUUACUGGGCGUAAAGCGCGCGUAGGCGGUCUGUUAAGUGCUCAAGUGAAAGCUCCGGGCUCAACUCGGAAAUUGCUUUGCAUACUGGCAGGCUGGAGGGACGCAGAGGUCUGUGGAAUUCCUGGUGUAACGGUGAAAUGUGUUGAUAUCAGGAGGAACACCCAUGGCGAAGGCAGCAGACUGGGCGUUUCCUGACGCUGAGGCGCGAAAGCGUGGGUAGCAAACAGG
RNAcentral lists this ribosomal RNA (254 nucleotides) under uncultured bacterium. Its description in RNAcentral is "partial 16S ribosomal RNA". It matches the Rfam family "Bacterial small subunit ribosomal RNA", at positions 524 to 776 of the family's 1533-position model. The record is from RNAcentral.